This 3137-nucleotide long non-coding RNA is filed under the name Oncorhynchus mykiss (rainbow trout). RNAcentral describes it as "lncRNA (ENSOMYG00000056198.1)". The record is from RNAcentral. Lineage: Eukaryota; Metazoa; Chordata; Actinopteri; Salmoniformes; Salmonidae.
CCUCCCUCCCUCCCUCCCUCCCUCCCUCCCUCCCUCCCUCCCUCCCUCCCUCACUCUCUGUCUGUCUGUCUGUCUGUCUGUCUGUCUGUCUGUCUCUCUGUCUCUCUCUCUCUCUAAUUUAGACUCUACAACACCUGAGGCCAGCACUACAGAACAAAUAACCACAGUUGAUAACACAACACAACUGAUCACAUUUACCAGUAAGUAUCAUCAAGUUCUGGAGAACAAAAUGUGUGUUUCUCCCCUAAUGUAGACUCUACAACAUCAUCAUCUACACCCACAACAGAACAAAUUACUACAGCUGACCCCACAAUACAUCUGACCACAGUUGUCAGUAAAUACAAUCAAGUACUAGUUAAAAUAAUUUGUUCUUAAAUUCAGGUCUUCACAUGUUUGUCACAUCCCUCCCUCCCUCCCUCCCUCCCUCCCUCCCUCCCUCCCUCCCUCCCUCCCUCCCUCCCUCCCUCCCUCCCUCUCUGUCUGUCUGUCUGUCUGUCUGUCUGUCUGUCUGUCUGUCUGUCUGUCUGUCUGUCUGUCUGUCUGUCUGUCUGUCUGUCUGUCUGUCUGUCUCUCUCUCUCUCUCUCUCUCUCUCUCUCUCUGCUUUAGACUCUACAACACCUGAGGCCAGCACUACAGAACAAAUAACUACAGUUGAUAACACAACACAACUGAUCACAGUUACCAACUCUACAACACCUGAGGCCAGCACUACAGAACAAAUAACUACAGUUGAUAACACAACACAACUGAUCACAGUUACCAACUCUACAACACCUGAGGCCAGCACUACAGAACAAAUAACUACAGUUGAUAACACAACACAACUGACCACAGUUACCAGUAAAUACAAUCAAGUACUAGUGAAAAUAAUUUGUUCUGAAAUUCAGGUCUUCACAUGUUUGUCACAAUCUCUCUCUCUCUCUCCCUCCCUCCCUCCCUCCCUCCCUCCCUCCCUCCCUCCCUCCCUCCCUCCCUCCCUCCCUCCCUCCCUCCCUCCCUCCCUCCCUCCCUCCCUCACUCUCUGUCUGUCUGUCUGUCUGUCUCUCUGUCUCUCUCUCUCUCUAAUUUAGACUCUACAACACCUGAGGCCAGCACUACAGAACAAAUAACCACAGUUGAUAACACAACACAACUGAUCACAUUUACCAGUAAGUAUCAUCAAGUUCUGGAGAACAAAAUGUGUGUUUCUCCCCUAAUGUAGACUCUACAACAUCAUCAUCUACACCCACAACAGAACAAAUUACUACAGCUGACCCCACAAUACAUCUGACCACAGUUGUCAGUAAAUACAAUCAAGUACUAGUUAAAAUAAUUUGUUCUUAAAUUCAGGUCUUCACAUGUUUGUCACAUCCCUCCCUCCCUCCCUCCCUCCCUCCCUCCCUCCCUCCCUCCCUCCCUCCCUCCCUCCCUCCCUCCCUCCCUCCCUCCCUCCCUCUCUGUCUGUCUGUCUGUCUGUCUGUCUGUCUGUCUGUCUGUCUGUCUGUCUGUCUCUCUCUCUCUCUCUCUCUCUCUCUCUCUCUGCUUUAGACUCUACAACACCUGAGGCCAGCACUACAGAACAAAUAACUACAGUUGAUAACACAACACAACUGAUCACAGUUACCAGUAAGUAUCAUCAAGUUCUGGAGAACAAAAUGUGUGUUUCACCCCUAAUGUAGACUCUACAACAUCUUUACCCACAACAUAACAAAUUACUACAGCUGACCCCACAACACAACUGAUCACAGUUACUAGUAAAUACAAUCAAGUACUAGUUAAAAUAUUUUUUUCUUAAAUUCAGGUCUUCACAUGUUUGUCACAUCCCUCCCUCCCUCCCUCCCUCCCUCCCUCCCUCCCUCCCUCCCUCCCUCCCUCCCUCCCUCCCUCCCUCCCUCCCUCCCUCCCCCGCUCUCUGUCUGUCUGUCUGUCUGUCUGUCUGUCUCUCUCUCUCUCUCUCUCUCUCUCUCUCUCUAAUUUAGACUCUACAACACCUGAGGCCAGCACUACAGAACAAAUAACCACUGUUGAUAACACAACACAACUGAUCACAGUUACCAGUAAGUAUCAUCAAGUUCUGGAGAACAAAAUGUGUGUUUCUCCCCUAAUGUAGACUCUACAACAUCUGCACCCACAACAAAACAAAUUACUACAGCUGACCCCACAACACAACUGACCACAGUUGUCAGUAAAUACAAUCAAGUACUAGUUAAAAUAAUUUGUUCUUAAAAUUCAGGUCUUCACAUGUUUGUCACAUCCCUCCCUCCCUCCCUCCCUCCCUCCCUCCCUCCCUCCCUCCCUCCCUCCCUCCCUCCCUCCCUCCCUCCCUCCCUCCCUCCCUCCCUCCCUCCCUGUCUAUCUGUCUGUCUAUCUGUCUGUCUCUCUCUCUCUCUCUCUCUCUCUCUCUCUAAUUUAGACUCUACAACACCUGAGGCCAGCACUACAGAACAAAUAACCACAGUUGAUAACACAACACAACUGAUCACAGUUACCAGUAAGUAUCAUCAAGUUCUGGAGAACAAAAUGUGUGUUUCUCCCCUAAUCUAGACUCUACAACAUCUACACCCACAACAGAACAAAUUACUACAGCUGACCCCACAACACAACUGACCACAGUUGAUAACACAACACAACUGACUACAGUUGAUAACACAACACAACUGAACCCAGUUACCAGUAAGUGAACACUAAUAUAUUUUAGUUAAUUACAAAGUUGCAUUAACGAGUCACUAUCUAUCACAAUAGAACUGACACUAGUGACCAUUAGACUAAGAGCUUCUAAAGGCUGGUAAAAACAAUUCAAAAAAUAGCAUGAGUUUACAUGAAUCUGUUUCUUCUUCAAUCUCUCACUAUGUUGCUUAUCUCUUGGUAGACUUUACUACACCUGCAGCCACAGCAAAACAGACCACUACAGCUGACCCCACAACACAAUUUACCACAGUUACCUGGAAAUACAGUCAUUAACUGCUGAAAAUAAUUUGUUCUGAUCUUCAGUUCAUCACACAUUUGUCACAAUCUCUCUCUCUCUCUCUCUCUCUCUGCUUUAGACUCUACAACACCUGAGGCCAGCACUACAGAACAAAUAACUACAGUUGAUAACACAACACAACUGACCACAGUUACCAGUAAAUACAAUCAAGUACUAGUGAAAAUAAUUUGU